Molecule: RNA transcript, 917 nt
Organism: Sphaeramia orbicularis (orbiculate cardinalfish)
Lineage: Eukaryota; Metazoa; Chordata; Actinopteri; Kurtiformes; Apogonidae
Gene name: zinc finger HIT domain-containing protein 1-like
Exons: 7
Source: RefSeq, a predicted model, not a curated record
CCGCGGCUUCCGUAGACGGAAGUGACGUCACAUCCAAAAUGGUGCUGGAGAAGAAGGUUUCUGCUCGGGUGGAGGCGGGCCAACGCAGGGUGUUGGACGAAGCCACGCGUCAGAGGCGUCUGAGUCGUCAGCUGGAGGCGUUGGAGAAGGACAACUUCCAGGACGACCCCCUGUCCUCCCUCCCUCCUCCGGGUCCCGCCGCUCGCCUUCCCGCCUUCAGCGAGUCUGAGGAACCAGAGAAGAAGAAGAGGAAGACGAGGGGCGACCACUUCAAGCAGAGGUUCAGGAAGAACUUCACCACGCUGCUGGAGGAGGAGAACCUGUCGGAGAAGGUGGAGCCCAACUACCUGUCGGCCGUGGCUCCGCCCUCCUCGCUGCCCCCCAGACAUUUCUGCUGCGUCUGUGGGUUCCCGUCUCAUUACACCUGCACCACCUGUGGGGGGCGCUACUGCAGCAGCAGGUGUCUGUGUACGCACCGCGAGACCAGGUGUUUGAAGUGGACGCUGUGAGGGGGGGCCUGUCUCCAUGGUAACAGACGCCAUAGACCUGCGCCUCAUCUCCAUGGUAACAGCAGCUGUAGACCUGCACCUCGGUUCUAAGGGGUGAACGUGUCCGUGUUCUGCUUCGCGUGUGUAAAUAGUGUCAUGUGUUGAUGUUUUUUGUCUGUUUUUUAUUAAAUUCACUGAUGUUGAUCUGAUUUGUCACUGAUUGAUCUGAGGUUUAAACUUUAAAUUGACACAGUGGUUGCUUCUCAUUGGAUUUCAACUCCAUGUAGGCGGAGCCAUGUCAGUGCCGGACACCUGACCCGUCUCCUGGUGUUGGUAAACACAACAUUCCCAUCUGGGUCCUUGAACCAGUGGUGGGUGUGAACUCUGACUCCCUCUAGUGUCCGUUUUUCCAGACGAGUUCAAACGAGU